UACGAAGGGGGCUAGCGUUGCUCGGAAUCACUGGGCGUAAAGCGCACGUAGGCGGCUUUCUAAGUCAGAGGUGAAAUCCUGGAGCUCAACUCCAGAACUGCCUUUGAUACUGGAGAGCUUGAGUUCGGGAGAGGUGAGUGGAACUGCGAGUGUAGAGGUGAAAUUCGUAGAUAUUCGCAAGAACACCAGUGGCGAAGGCGGCUCGCUGGCCCGAUACUGACGCUGAGGUGCGAAAGCGUGGGGAGCAAACAGG
RNAcentral lists this ribosomal RNA (253 nucleotides) under uncultured bacterium. RNAcentral describes it as "partial 16S ribosomal RNA". It matches the Rfam family "Bacterial small subunit ribosomal RNA", at positions 524 to 776 of the family's 1533-position model. The record is from RNAcentral.